AACGAACGCUGGCGGCAUGCCUAACACAUGCAAGUCGAACGAGACCUUCGGGUCUAGUGGCGUACGGGUGCGUAACGCGUGGGAACCUGCCCUUAGGUUCGGAAUAACUCCCCGAAAGGGGUGCUAAUACCGGAUAAUGUCUUCGGACCAAAGAUUUAUCGCCUUUGGAUGGGCCCGCGUUGGAUUAGCUAGUUGGUAGGGUAAAAGCCUACCAAGGCGACGAUCCAUAGCUGGUCUGAGAGGAUGAUCAGCCACACUGGGGCUGAGACACGGCCCAGACUCCUACGGGAGGCAGCAGUGGGGAAUAUUGGACAAUGGGCGAAAGCCUGAUCCAGCAAUGCCGCGUGAGUGAUGAAGGCCUUAGGGUUGUAAAGCUCUUUUACCCGGGAUGAUAAUGACAGUACCGGGAGAAUAAGCUCCGGCUAACUCCGUG
This 433-nucleotide ribosomal RNA is filed under the name uncultured bacterium. Its description in RNAcentral is "partial 16S ribosomal RNA". It matches the Rfam family "Bacterial small subunit ribosomal RNA", at positions 29 to 507 of the family's 1533-position model. The record is from RNAcentral.